CCGUUGAAGUUGAUGAGGCGGUCACUGAAGAACAUGCAUCUUGAUUUUCCAAACGUGUGGGCUCCUGAUAGAGCCACGAGAUCUGUAGAAUCAAGCCCUUGAUCUUUAAACUUGCCUUUAAGUCCCACUAGAGUUUCUGAGGGACCAGGUAAGUUUGAGGUUCCAGUUCUAUUGGCUAUUCUGCUGUCUUUUCUUCCCAUUGGUACAACCCAAAUUGGUCCUCCCGACUGCCAAAACACCAUAAAAGUUAACAUUAUUACUUGCCGAAGAUAACAAAUCUCCAUUUAUCUUUACAAAAGUAGGCAGGGUUUUACUUUUGGUUUUAAAAAAAAUGUUUUGUACCAUUCAAAAUAGUUGUCAUCUUAGCUUAUGUAGUGGGUAUGAGAUUUUAAUUUCAUCGCAUUCUCCGCAUCUCAAUUGAGCUACUUAUAGAAAGAAUAGGAAACAUAAAUUUAAUUAAAGUAAUUACCAAGAAAACAGAGAUUUGAGAUGAAAUGGCUAAGAUAUCAGCGCAAGAAACAACUCCUGGACAAGCACUCUCAACUGCUGCUUUGAUGUUGUCCACAAUGUCCAUUCCUUGGAUUCCACCAUUUGGAGGUCCAUUAAGUUCACUAUCGAUAACGCCCGGUACGUCUACCAAUAGAAUCGAUCCAUCACACCCCUACACAAAACCAAAAAAAAUAUUAAGAGUAGAUUCAUCCAUCAUGUUACAAAACAUUUACUAGAUAUGUGUUUAUGCAAUACGAAAAAAAAAAGAAAAUGAAAUAAAAUAAUACAUUGACAAAGCAAUCAUGAAAAUGGAGGCGAAUGAGCUUAGCAGCAGCUCGGUCAUCAGUCUGUAGGGCUUGGGCAACCACGUUGAGAACAACGAAAGGCAGCUGAGGGCAUGUGGUGGCGUAGAAGAAAGGAGAAAGCUGGGCUUGAGAGGGUGAUAGCAUCAAAGCCACCACCACAACAAUGGCUGCCAUUUUAGGUAAACCCAUUUUUGAUACUGCAAAUGGGGUCUUCUCUGGUCUUUGCUUUGGGGAUAAGAAACUUUGUGCAAACAUAUCUUCCUUUUAUACACACCCCAUCACCUUUAAUUUUUAGUAUACCAAACAACUUGGGAUUCAAUUAAACAAUACAAUAAUCCAACUCUAUCCCACAAUUAAAAUAUGACUUUUCUUUUUCUCUCUUUUUGAAAUUUGGUACUGCCUUGGGUUGGUUUUAUACCAUUAUUGCUUGUCUUCUUGUGUGUGUGUAUAUAUAUUUUCAAUGACCAUUCUAGUAAAUUUGCCUCCUUGUACGAUUUUCUUUUUCUAUCUUAUUAUGCACAUGAUGUAUAGCAGUGUGCAUGCAUCAACGUACACAUAGUUUAACGGGAAGAUUAUAUUGUUUCUUUGUUUAAUAAAUGAAGUUGUUGGGGAUUCAACUUUUAAAAUACCCAAAUUUUUUGUGAAGAGAUGGCUACUGGAUUUUUUGUGAGAUUCCAUAUUUUUAUAAUUUAUUUUAUGGAAUUGAUCAUCAAAUAUAAAAUUACAAGAUUAUUGUGUUGUUGUAAUUUUGUGACUAUUAAUAAUAAAUCCAUGAAUUGUCAAAAAUCUUAAAUGACAAGAUUGGUAGUUUAAAAGUUAUAUUUAUUAGACAUUUUGGAAAUAGAAAUAAAAAAUCUCUUAAAAGUAGAAAAAAUUAUGAAUUCCAAUUUUGAGGGCUGUUGGUAUCAAAAUUUCUAAUUAAGUUCAUUAUUAUAUGGUUACUAUCCAUUUAUAAGUUGAAGUUCUACUUAAUUUUUUUAAAAAAAUGUGAAACGUACUAAAAAGGUUUACUUUUAAAAUUGAAGGACGAUACAUACUUAUUGAUUGAUGAAGACUUCGAGAACUAAAAAAAAUAGAUUUUCUAUUUUUUUUAUAUUUAUAUUAUGUUUGUAACGAUAAUUCUUCAUGCCUAAAGCUAAACUUGUUGGGUAAGGUUGGAAAGAAGAGAAAGAGAAAAAGAAAUUACUACACUAUAAUAAGAAAAGAAACGAGGUAUAUAUUAUGAUAAUUACAAGUUUUUUACCAAAUGACAUUGCUACAAAAAGGAUAAAGAUGUUUAGUUGAAUUUAGAGUUUGUUUAAAUUGAUGGGAGAAAAAAUGUUUUUCAAUUUAAUUCCCUUUUAUUUAAAUAUUCUUUGUAAAAGUUAAUUAAAAUGCACUUUGAUGUUGUCACGAUGUCUAGGCCUUGGAUUCCAUUGUUGGGAGGUGCGUUCAAUUCACUGUCGAUAACACCAGGUACGUCUUCCAAUAGCACAUAUCCAUCACACUCCUACAUAAAUUGACCCAACAUCCAACGUAUAAGUCUUGCUUUAUACUUUCGUAUAGGAAGAAGUGAGAAGAUGUUUGGCUAAACAAAAAAAAAAAAAAGUAUUUUUAAGUAGUUAGAAAAAAUCAAUUCAAAUAGGUUUAUGAUGAGUACGUGCAUUGGCAAAGCAGUCAUGAAAGUGGAAACGAAUGAACUUGGCAGCAGCUCGAUCAUCUGUUUGGAGAGCUUGAUAGACUGUAUUUAGAACAACAGCAGUCAGUUAAGGGCAAGUCGAGGCGUAGAAUAAAUUGUUAAGCUGAGCCAGAGAGGGAGCAAGCAUCAAAGCUACCACAACAAAGGCCGUAAGUUUAGAGGAAGCCAUUGCUAAUGUUUUUGGGUUAUUUGUGAGAGUAAGUUGUGGAGAAAUGGAGAGGUGAUGUUUGAUUAAUUUAUACACAGCAGCCAUGAGUUUGGGGCACAUAUAGUCGAUUGAUUCAAGGUCAUUAACAUUAAAUUAUUAACAAAAUUGAGUAUGAUUAUUUUCAACACAUCAGGGUUUUCGUUUGGUAUUUGGG
RNAcentral lists this long non-coding RNA (2834 nucleotides) under Cucumis sativus (cucumber). RNAcentral describes it as "long non-coding RNA (CSAT_LNC001576)". Lineage: Eukaryota; Viridiplantae; Streptophyta; Magnoliopsida; Cucurbitales; Cucurbitaceae. The record is from RNAcentral.